CUUCAUUAUCAUAUUUCAGGUCAUAAAUUCCUCCUGGCAUUUUAAUUUUUAUUUUGUUUUAUUAACUAAUUUCGCUUCGUUUCAUCCAUUCAUGUCAUCAUUUAUCUUUUCGUUAUAGUGGGUCCCGAGUAGAUCUGAAACAACCAAGGCACAUAAGAAUUCACUCAAAGCAAGGUUUUUAUUGAAUUUUCAGUGAAACUGACCAGUCAGGGACCUCAGUACAGACUGGGAAGCUGACUGAGUCUCAGAAUACUCACUCAGGAGGGGAUUUAAGCAAGAAAACCACAAAUAUCUGUGCCAACCCACACAGGAUACAAGUUCUGCAGUAGAUUUGAUGCUGUUGCUGUUCAAAAGGACUCUUGGGCAGAUGUUACAUUUUUAAGCUCUUACCCAGACCUGUGCUUCAGCCCUGCGGGGUGUCCAGUCACCCAGCUUGGUUAAUGGUGAAGGCUUGGGUGCAGCAGGAAGUGUGGCUGUGCCCCAAGAAGUUCUGACACAAAUGGACAAAGUCCCGGGUUGUUGCUGCGUGGAUGCUGUCAAUGUCACUGAUCCCUUAUUUUAGUCCCCACUGAAGAUGGCUGCAAAAUGAGGGUCAAAUUCGAAGGACCAGACAUUUGCAGAUCCCUAGGACAAGAAGGCACUGAGUUUCUGGUCAGGUACCGGUGACAAGCGAUUUAGCCAGAGCCUGGCCACUGGAUUUCUCAGUGGCACAGAUUUCUCUCUGCAAUUGUGGCUCCUAGAGUUUUCUAAGAUUACCCGGUGCAGCAACACUACCCCUUUGCUGAAGGCUUCUUUUUUCUUUUUUCUUUUUUCUUUUUGGGUUCCGUGGCCUCCCUGGCCCCCAGCGAGGCUGUUUCUGGACUAUGCUGUGCACUGUGCGAUUUCAGCAGGGCACAGGCUUGGCCCUGGCUGAUAUGCAGUGCACCACAGCGGGAAGCCCAGACCUCAGGUGCUCAGCACAUUGGCCAGUGAGAUCGGGCUGAGGUCCCCAGUUGGUGGAGAAAUCCGGUUUUGUUGGCCUUCUGGAGGGAAUUCAUUGCUUAUGGCUCUGUCAGUCCUGGAUCCUGUCCUUCAGUCUUUGGCACCAGGGAGCCUUAGAGAAUAUGGGGACCCUUUGGGCUACUGCUCCCUGCAAAGCAUGCUUCCUUUCCGAACGCCUUCGUUUCAAAAUAAAAACGCACUGACAACUGUC
Mesocricetus auratus (golden hamster) is the source of this 1192-nucleotide long non-coding RNA. RefSeq lists it as uncharacterized. The record is from RefSeq and is a predicted model, not a curated record. The transcript is spliced from 2 exons. NCBI's taxonomy places the organism in Eukaryota, Metazoa, Chordata, Mammalia, Rodentia, Cricetidae.